RNAcentral lists this ribosomal RNA (263 nucleotides) under Escherichia coli. Its description in RNAcentral is "partial 16S ribosomal RNA". It matches the Rfam family "Bacterial small subunit ribosomal RNA", at positions 1 to 260 of the family's 1533-position model. The record is from RNAcentral. Lineage: Bacteria; Pseudomonadati; Pseudomonadota; Gammaproteobacteria; Enterobacterales; Enterobacteriaceae. RNAcentral also lists the same sequence under 1 other name.
AAAUUGAAGAGUUUGAUCAUGGCUCAGAUUGAACGCUGGCGGCAGGCCUAACACAUGCAAGUCGAACGGUAACAGGAAGCAGCUUGCUGCUUCGCUGACGAGUGGCGGACGGGUGAGUAAUGUCUGGGAAACUGCCUGAUGGAGGGGGAUAACUACUGGAAACGGUAGCUAAUACCGCAUAACGUCGAAAGACCAAAGAGGGGGACCUUCGGGCCUCUUGCCAUCGGAUGUGCCCAGAUGGGAUUAGCUUGUUGGUGGGGUAA